RNAcentral lists this transfer RNA (63 nucleotides) under Corydalus cornutus (eastern dobsonfly). Its description in RNAcentral is "tRNA-Arg". Lineage: Eukaryota; Metazoa; Arthropoda; Insecta; Megaloptera; Corydalidae. The record is from RNAcentral.
AAGUAUGAAGCGAUUUAUUGCAUUUAGUUUCGACCUAACCUUAGGUACACCUUACCCUUACUU